Long non-coding RNA from Schistocerca nitens (vagrant locust), 3818 nucleotides. RefSeq lists it as uncharacterized. The record is from RefSeq and is a predicted model, not a curated record. The transcript has 3 exons. Lineage: Eukaryota; Metazoa; Arthropoda; Insecta; Orthoptera; Acrididae.
CACAUACAACUGCAGCAACAGCGAAACAUUACAAAAAGUACUUGAGUCACUGAGCAACUGUGUGCAAGAUUUGCAAUUAGCAAAUCCUGAAGUUGGUGGUCUCCCAUUGGCAGUGCCAUCAACUUCCAAACAAUAGCGAAGAACGAUGCCAAAAGCCUUACAAGAUCUGUCUUAAACACAUUAUAACUUCGCAUUUGAAGGGUAAGAAAUGACGGUUUAUUUGAAUUUUAGAUAGCUCUUUGUCUAUGUAAAAUACAAAUAAGCUCCGUCAUUUCUGAUCCUCGAGAUGGAAUGCUGAGGUCUUUAUGUUGGUCUCUGCUUUUAAACUUUGUUGCACAUUUGAAUUUCGAAGUAGCAGUAGAUAAAAUAUUAUAAAAAGGAUAGUUGCUACAUUUGUGUGUGUGUUUGUGAGUGAGCGAGUGUGCGCGCGCGCUUUUGAGAAGGCCCUUGUUGCCCGAAAGAUAAGUCUGACAGUCUUUUUGUUGUUCCUUUCUGUGACUCAGCAUCUUCACCAUUUGGUGAGCAGCAACAACUAUCCUUUUCAUAAUAUUGUUACAUUCCAUCCUGGAUUUUUCGUUGUUCAUCAGAGAAAAGAUUUUUCUGAGGAAUUAAACUAGAUGGUAGUGUAGAACUUGCAAACUUUUUAAAAUAUGAAGUAAAAGAUUUUAACUUUAAAUUAGGUUAAUUCAAAUAUGGGACAAUGUUGAGAAUUGAAAAGGUGGAAAAAAUAAAUAAGAUAUAUCUUAGUGGCAUUGAGAUGUCGUAUGACUGAUGGAGGAAAGAUUUUGCAUUUCUUUUUCCAAGUAAGAAUGCACUUGCUCUCACUUGCUUCAAUACAUGUCUAGUGAUUCACGUGAAACAGAGAAAAAGAUAGACUGCCCUGUUAAUGAACAUGAGAUUGCCCAGUAUCACUCUGACAGAAGAGUAUGGUGUUUCCUUGAUAUGGUAUCUGGUCAGCAAUGUCAUUGGGACCAAAUGAAAGUUACUGCAGAUACCACACAGAAGCAAUUACUGUUACUGGAAUACCAGUAAUGUUUAUUAAAUUCAGUUGUAAAGCAGUUCUGGGCAUUGCAGCUGGUGAGCAAUGUCAUUGGGCACCAAAAGAAGUUCAGUUAUGAUGGAUUUCUGGCCUUCAGUCCAUGGGAAAAUUCACACCAGAUUGCAUCAAGACUGUUAUAUUCCAAGGAUAUCUUGGAAGAUUGAUAGUAUUCCUGAACGAAAACAAUCCAUAUAGUAUUUCACGUGUGUAUCAAACUGCCAUUUGUUGUGGCACAUAAAUGUUUGCAACUUGAUUGUAAUUUUUGAACAGUUUCUCAACAAUCCAAGAAUUUCUUGUAAUGAGAAGUAGACAUUGUUGCUUGGGUAAAGGAAAUACAAAUCACGGUCAAUAUAACUACCUUAUUAACUUUCCACAGAGAAAUAUUUUUCACUACUGCUACUUAAAAAUUCAAAUGUGUGACAAAGUUUGCUUACAGAACUUGGCAUAAAUAUCUCCCUUAUUUGUAUUUUUUAGGUAGCUCUUAUUGUUUGAUCCUUCAAAUGGAAUGCUAUGACCUCCAUGUGAUCUAUUCCUUAGUAGUUAAUUAUCCAUUAAGGCACAAAUAUAUGAACAUUACAAUGAGAGGGGUCUUUAUGCCAGGCCCUGUAAAAGUAAUGGCAUCUUACUUAAUAUUAUUGUUGGGAAUUUGAUGGCACAGCUGUGGGGAGACCACAAAUUUCAGGGUUUGCUAACUGCAAAUCUGGCACACAGUUGCUGAGUGAUUCAAGUACUUUUCAUAAUGUUUCACUGUUGAUACAGUUGUAUGUGAGAUUAUAAACCUGUUUGAACAACACCUUCACUUCAAAUUGCUGCAAAGAAAUGGUUACGGUAUCGGUGUGAUGCUCUAUAUGUGUUUCCUCAACUGUGUCCUCAUUGCUACUGUCUUCAUGUGAAAUUACUGCGGACACACUUCUGAAACCAAACCUGUACAUCUUGUGAAGACAGAUUAAUGGGCUAUUCCUGCAGCUUUCUGGUAUUUUAUCAAAACCCCACUCUGGAUAGAAAAUAAAGAUUGCACAGAAAUGCUUGCAUGGGUAUUUAUAUAUCUCAAAAUCUUCACAUGCGCAGUUUGGUAGAGCAAAGCUUACAACAUAAUUAGUCUUUGAACAUUGUACUCUCCAUACAAAACAUUGUCCAAGUUCACAUUCACUAGUCUUGCAGUUAAUUCAACUUUCCCUGGUGCAUAUCACUGCAUGACAUGUUUCACAAACUUGCUUUUUUUUAAAAAAAAAAAAAAAUGAAAAAACAGUGGAACAUGUCUUAUGAUUUGAUGGCAGAAUUCUGCAGACAGUACUUUCUAAUUAGGCUUGGAAGAAAUUGAUUUCUUAUAUCCCUAGUAGCCCCAUUGAAGGUCCCAUCUUUGUUCCAUUUUAGGAAAAAAAAUGUUUACAAUCUUGUUCAUGGCGUCAACUCCACUUGUAAUGUCAAUGGUAUCAAAAUUGCCCUUGUCCUCAUAAGCUUCCACCCACUUUUCAUGUAUCAAUAGCCACUGCUGUUAAACGUACGGUGAUGCAUAUUCGUUUCUCUGAGAAGCCUCACUAUCUCUUCUGUAUGAUCUGUAAAUUCUCUGUUGGUGAUUCUGAAAUUUCUUGCCACAUGCCCAGAAAUCUCUUCAUGUCAUUUGGUAUUUAUACAACCAUCUUCCUCAAACCUGUUUGACUGAAAAGGCACAAGUAAACUUUUGUCUGAGGAUAUGCUUGAUCAGUUGCGUUUGUCUCAGAUUAUAAGAAAUCAGUAACCCAGUAGGUGGGAUUCCAAUCCUUGAAAAUGGCUAGUGCUUCAUGAAUGGAUCUCGCAUUUUCAACUUGAAUGAAAAAGAAAACCAAAUAAUCCACAUUACUCUUUACAGCUAUAAAAAAAUAAAGGCAUAUCAUGUGUUGUUGUUUUGUAUGUUGCAUAUAACAACUAUCCCUGUACUUCUUCAAAAGAUCUCUUUGCUAACAGCUGUGACAGAAAAAAGUGAUGGUUUCACUCCUCCAUUGGCACCUAUACCAUGUUCGUAAUAAAUCAUGUGAUUGCUUUAUUCCUUGUGCCACUCGUCAGCAUGAUUCUGCAAUCUAGUCUCUUCAAACAAUGCUUUAUUUGUACAUUACAAGGUCCAAUAUGUGUGAAUAUAAUUUUUUUCAGUGGGGUAAAAUGUAGUAUUCAUUAGACCUGGUAUGUGUGUCCCAGUGAAAUUAUCAAUAAAUGUAUCUAGAGCCAAAUUAUUGGCUGUAUGAUGUCAUUCCAUUGUGCACCUGAAUUUGUAUUUCCUUUACAAGGUAUUGUUAGCAUGUGUGUGUGCUGAUUUGCUGGAGAAGCAGAGAGAUAGUGUUUCAGCUAUCUUUGAGACAGUUAAAGGAGGUGCUCUAGAAAUGAGUGUCCUGAUUGAUAUGAAAAACAGUUUUCAAAUUUUCUGUACAAACUAUAAACAGUUCCUCAGUUGGUGAUUGUGGAAGAGAUUGCCAUAGCCACAGUAUUGAUCCACUGUCAGGUGGUAAACCUAGGAUUUCCUUCCAGUAUGAGCCAAGUGAAGUAAAAUUGUGGUUGGAGAAAUGUUUUAUAUUCUUAAACUGAGUAUUUGUAACCCAUUAUGGUGGAUUGCAGUUCAUGUGUCAACACUUAAAAAUGUUUAGUUCUUCACUGAUGACACUUGAUACAAUUUCAAUUUUUAAGGCUAUUCUGUGUCAAGUUAAAUUUUGAAUUAUCCAUUUAAGCUUAUUUUUUGCUGUGUGGCAGAUGGAUUUAUGUUCAUGUAAUAUUUUUAAUGUUGAUUGUAGUAAGGUGUAAUAAUAUGUAA